This 488-nucleotide ribosomal RNA is filed under the name uncultured bacterium. Its description in RNAcentral is "bacterial SSU rRNA". It matches the Rfam family "Bacterial small subunit ribosomal RNA", at positions 28 to 507 of the family's 1533-position model. The record is from RNAcentral.
GACGAACGCUGGCGGCGUGGAUUAGGCAUGCAAGUCGAACGGUAGGAUACCUUCGGGUAUCUGAGAGUGGCGAACGGGUGAGUAACACGUAGGUGAUCUACCCUCAAGAUUGGGACAACCCAGGGAAACUUGGGCUAAUACCGGAUGAAAGCAGCAGUGAUGUUGUUUGAAAGGUGGCGUAAGCUGCCGUUUGGGGAUGAGCCUGCGCUCUAUUAGUUAGUUGGCGGGGUAAGGGCCCACCAAGGCGAUGAUAGAUAGGCGGCCUUAACGGGUGGUCGCCCACACUGGGAUUGAGAUACGGCCCAGACUCCUACGGGAGGCAGCAGUCGAGAAUAGUCUACAAUGGCCGAAAGGCUGAUAGUGCGACGCCGCGUGAACGAAGAAGCCCUUCGGGGUGUAAAGUUCUUUUAUAUGUGAGCAGUGCUUUCUAUGUGAACAGCAUGGGGAGAGAGAUAUUAGCAUAUGAAUAAGCAACGGCUAACUCCGUG